Molecule: long non-coding RNA, 214 nt
Filed under: Fukomys damarensis (Damara mole-rat)
Lineage: Eukaryota; Metazoa; Chordata; Mammalia; Rodentia; Bathyergidae
Description: lncRNA (ENSFDAG00000026257.1)
Source: RNAcentral
GUCUUGUGCGAGGAAAGUCAUCUUUGUCAUUAAUCACGAGGCUGUGGGUGAGGCUGCAGCCUGUCUUGGAGCCCUGGAGCAGGCUCUCCUUCCUGUUGGUGUAGCCAGGAGCUGGUGCUGAGCUUGACUUUGGUGCUUGUGCUUUCUCCUGCUGUCGCGCUGACCCUGAGAUCUCCGUCCUUCAAGGCCCUGAGCCGCUCCUGCAAGUACCCAG